This 407-nucleotide ribosomal RNA is filed under the name uncultured bacterium. RNAcentral describes it as "partial 16S ribosomal RNA". It matches the Rfam family "Bacterial small subunit ribosomal RNA", at positions 30 to 526 of the family's 1533-position model. The record is from RNAcentral.
AUUGAACGCUGGCGGCAUGCCUAACACAUGCAAGUCGAGCGGAGCGGCGGACGGGUGAGUAAUGCCUAGGAAUCUGCCUGGUAGUGGGGGAUAACGUACGGAAACGGGCGCUAAUACCGCAUACUAUCAGAUGAGCCUAGGGGGGAUUAGCUAGUUGGUGGGUUAAAGGCCUACCAAGGCGAAGAUCCGUAACUGGUCUGAGAGGCUGAUCAGUCAAACUGGAACUGGAAAACGGUCCAGACUCCUACGGGAGGCAUCAGUGGGUAAUAUUGGACAAUGGGCGAAAGCCUGAUCCAGCCAUGCGGCGUGGGUGAAGAAGGUCUUCGGAUUGUAAAGCACUUUAAGUUGGGAGGCGUUACCAACAGAAUAAGCACCGGCUAACUUCGUGCCAGCAGCCGCGGUAAUUC